AUGGCCGUGGCCCUGGGAGUUGGUACGGUGGAAGCAACACUUGAAGGACCUGGCGUGGGUGGUCGGUGCGCAGGCGCACUUGGAAGCGGGCCCGUGGCCGCACCGGACGGUGCCGAUGCCGACCCAGGCCACCUCAUUCGCGUAUUCUUGGAGAUGUGGCUGGCCGAUUUACAUGAAAUUAAUUCCCUCAGUUGUGGUGGCAAAUAUAAUACACAUAAUCCAUAUUAUUAUGCACUAGCGUGUGUGUGUGUGAAAUAG
This 258-nucleotide ribosomal RNA is filed under the name Triticum aestivum (bread wheat). RNAcentral describes it as "partial small subunit ribosomal RNA". The record is from RNAcentral. Lineage: Eukaryota; Viridiplantae; Streptophyta; Magnoliopsida; Poales; Poaceae.